UAGCCAUGGGCAGGUUGAAGGUUGGGUAACACUAACUGGAGGACCGAACCGACUAAUGUUGAAAAAUUAGCGGAUGACCUGUGGCUGGGGGUGAAAGGCCAAUCAAACCGGGAGAUAGCUGGUUCUCCCCGAAAGCUAUUUAGGUAGCGCCUCGUGAAUUCAUCUCCGGGGGUAGAGCACUGUUUCGGCUAGGGGGCCAUCCCGGCUUACCAACCCGAUGCAAACUGCGAAUACCGGAGAAUGUUAUCACGGGAGACACACGGCGGGUGCUAACGUCCGUCGUGAAGAGGGAAACAACCCAGACCGCCAGCUAAGGUCCCAAAGUCAUGGUUAAGUGGGAAACGAUGUGGGAAGGCCCAGACAGCCAGGAUGUUGGCUUAGAAGCAGCCAUCAUUUAAAGAAAGCGUAAUAGCUCACUGGUCGAGUCGGCCUGCGCGGAAGAUGUAACGGGGCUAAACCAUGCACCGAAGCUGCGGCAGCGACGCUGAUGCGUUGUUGGGUAGGGGAGCGUUCUGUAAGCCUGUGAAGGUGGCCUGUGAGG
RNAcentral lists this ribosomal RNA (541 nucleotides) under Salmonella enterica. Its description in RNAcentral is "partial 23S ribosomal RNA". It matches the Rfam family "Bacterial large subunit ribosomal RNA", at positions 731 to 1268 of the family's 2925-position model. The record is from RNAcentral. Lineage: Bacteria; Pseudomonadati; Pseudomonadota; Gammaproteobacteria; Enterobacterales; Enterobacteriaceae.